UUUUUUUUUUUUUUUUUACAUAAAUUAUACGCUAUAGGAACAUUUUACAGCUUAUUUAACACUGCCUUGGAGAUCUUUCCAUGCCAAUAUAUAUACCUCUACUUUUUUUUAACUGCUACCAUAAGUAUUUUGUGGAAUGUACUACCACUGUUUAGCUGUUGCUCUGUUUUUAAAAUCACAAAUAUUCAUGGAGUAGCUAAUUUUUGGAAAGCAGCAUUUUUAAAGGUUUUUAGAGCUUAAGAUCAUGAUACUAGAUCAUCCAAUAAUAUGAUAUUGGAGCAUCCAAAGUAGCCACAAAGAAGGGGAUUAAUAUGGAAGUAGCAAAUUUCAGUCCUUUUUACACUUUAAAGAAUGAAAUCCACACCUCAGACAUGUAAGAGCAAAAUACAUUUUAAUGUCAUAGCAGUUAGAUGUCAAGCUCGGUUACAAAUAAUUUUUUAAUUCCCACAAUUUUGGAACUUUUUAGACAGUUAAGGAUACAACAGUAGUCUUUCUGCCGCUCUGAGGGAUUCACUGAAGAGGCAUCUCCACGUCACAGUUCCCAUAGCAUUUAAUGACCCUGCGACUUGGCAUUGGCAUCUACCUACUAUCCUAUGCCUCUGGGACAUAAGCCCCUCACAGGAAAAAGGCUGGGUCUUAGCCUUCUGAAAGACGCAGUAAAAAUUAUCUAGCAAGUAUAGUAUCUACUGUGUUUAUGCAUCCCCAUUUUCAGCAUUUUCUUUCUCCUUCCCAAUUCUAUUAGUUUAUCUUGAUGUCUGUUUGAAAAUGUGAAUGAUUGUUGGACAACCCAUGUUUAUGCAUAACUUUUUAUUUAAAAUUCUGGUCACAAAACAAUUUCAAACAUUCUGGAAUUCCCAAUUUUUAUUUUUGGGUUUGUGCCUAGUGGUCAAUGCUUUUAUAAUGCCUUUGAGGCACAAGGUGCUAGGGGUCACCACUUAUACCUUGUUUUAGGAUUUCCACUUUUCUUCAAAACCUAUACUUUUAGGUUAUCUUCACUAGGCAUUGUGUACAUUUGUGUAAAAUAAUCUCUAGAAAAACAAAACAAAAUUUUUGUUCUAUACUACUUGAUGUCCAGUAGAUGGCACCAAAUACCCUUUGAAGUUCAUGAUACUAAUUCCUACUUGGUGUUCCUGGCUAUUUGAUAAUUUCUUCCACCACUGCCAGGGAAUAGAAAGAGUCCGUUCUUUCAUCUAAUUCUGUGAUUAUUAUACAACCUAGUAUUUUUGUCCAUGGUUUAAGAUAAACCUGUUGGUGGGUAUCUGGCUGGCUCAAUCAGAAAAGCAUGAAACUCUUGAUCUUGGGGUUGUAAGUUCAAGUCCCAUGUUAGGUGUAAAAAUUAAGAAUAAAAUGUUUUUAAGAAAUGUUUUUAAAGAUAAACCUGUUGGUGUUUAAAUUAUUAAUUUGCUAUUUCUGCCUCAGAUUUCAACCUUUUAUCCUUCUUCUGUGUGGUUUUCAAUCACAUUGAUUCAAGGAGAAGGAUCAUGGUAUUGAAAUAAGACUGGGCUGAAAGAAAAUUAAGGAUAAGAGAAAGAAUAAAGAAAUAUGCUGAAUGUUUAUGAUAAAACACAGAGAAAAUAUAAAAGUAUAUAAAAUCCAAAUUUAAGAUAAGGAAGUCAGUGUUUUUACUAUUGUUAGUUUUAGUACUUUAGUAGAAUUCAUUUCAUUGACUUUCAAAUUUGUUUUAUAAAUAGCUUGCAAUUAAGAAAUACUCGUUAAAAAUGUUAUAUCCCCAUUCUCAUUUCUCUUUGUGCUUUCUUGAAAACCUUUAUCUUGAGUGUAUUAGCUUUCAUAAAGAAUAAGCUUUUAUUCAGUUUACCAUCAAAACCAGGAAAUGUUCCCUAUACGCCAGGCAUGGUCUAUAACGUUUAUUCUAGUUGUUAGUUCUGUUGACUUUAUUUAAUUUUAAUGGAUUUGUCAACCAUUAAAAAGGACAUGUUCAAAAAA
This 1944-nucleotide long non-coding RNA is filed under the name Canis lupus familiaris (dog). RNAcentral describes it as "lncRNA (ENSCAFG00000058292.1)". Lineage: Eukaryota; Metazoa; Chordata; Mammalia; Carnivora; Canidae. The record is from RNAcentral.